This 370-nucleotide long non-coding RNA is filed under the name Rattus norvegicus (Norway rat). Its description in RNAcentral is "long non-coding RNA NONRATT028982". Lineage: Eukaryota; Metazoa; Chordata; Mammalia; Rodentia; Muridae. The record is from RNAcentral.
UCUUUCCAAUGCACUUUAAUGCACGCACCAGCCCACGGUCCCUGCCUGCUGGCUGGGCAGAGGUCGGUGUCGGGUUCUAGGUAAGAGAUGUGUGCGUGGAAGAAGCCGGCCGCAUUGAACUUUGGCAGGCACACGGGAGUCCAAGCCUCGCCCUCACGGAAGGAUGAGGAGGAGCUAAUGAGGUUGAAAAGCAGGCAUCACCAGCCUCUGGUACACGUCAGCUCUCAGGGAAGAUGUAGGUACUUAUACUCCUGACCUUCAACCACAGACAGUGUCAUUCUUCUCUUUGAUUUCCUUUACAACACUGACCAAUUAUAGUCACUCCAGUGGUAUCCCCCAAGAGCGCAGGCUUACUUACCUUCUCCAUCCA